CCCCCCGACGCCGCGACCUUCUCCCCCUUGCGCCCGACGCCUCCAAGCCCUAACCGCCGGAGCACUAACCGCCGGCCGCGGCGGUUUCUUCUUCCCCUCUGCGUACAAUAGCCCUCGGCUAAGGGUUUCACCUCUUCCCCUCGCCACUGCCCGUCACCCUAGCCGUGAGAUCCCGAUCACUGGCCGCCGGCUCUCGGUCCCCGAUCGCGACCCCGCCGAUCUCCCUUUUGCCCUAGCAUCUCCACCGGCCGCCUCCUCGGUGUCGAGAUUCUUCUUCUCCUCUUCCGAGCGCCGACAGCCGACCAAGCUCCCUUGCCCUAAAUCUGCCGACCCAGCACCGCCAUUUCUUGACCUAGCCAGUCAUUAGAAAGCUUGCUGCCAUUGUUGACGAAGCCUCAGCCCUAGCACGGUUGCCGUGAGCUCUAGUUGAGGUCGCAGGGUUCUGCCGAGCCCUAGUUUCCACUGCCGAGUUCCUUCUUCACCAAAUCCUUAUGCUGUUAGGAUUUGGGUUUUUGGCGGUGUACACUGUCAGCCAUUUCUCCGGCCACAGAAGGUCACCAGCAGCUAGUUGUGAGGGGUGUUUCAGUUAGACACAAGGAACUGCCACCGUAGAGUUGCCCCUGUUCCGGCAGCCCUCAUUUCAGCAGUAAACGAUUAGCAGCAAUCAGUGGCUGUGAUUUGAGGGUUUUGACGCGAGACGAGUAUCUCGACGUUGGCUUUGGACCGGAUACGAUCCUUUCUUU
This is a long non-coding RNA of Zingiber officinale, 743 nucleotides long. RefSeq lists it as uncharacterized. The record is from RefSeq and is a predicted model, not a curated record. NCBI's taxonomy places the organism in Eukaryota, Viridiplantae, Streptophyta, Magnoliopsida, Zingiberales, Zingiberaceae. The transcript has 3 exons.